Molecule: ribosomal RNA, 253 nt
Filed under: uncultured bacterium
Lineage: Bacteria
Description: partial 16S ribosomal RNA
Rfam family: Bacterial small subunit ribosomal RNA
Source: RNAcentral
UACAGAGGUCUCAAGCGUUGUUCGGAUUCAUUGGGCGUAAAGGGUGCGUAGGUGGCGCUGUAAGUCGGGUGUGAAAUUUCGGAGCUUAACUACGAAACUGCAUUCGAUACUGCGGUGCUUGAGGACUGGAGAGGAGACUGGAAUUCAUGGUGUAGCAGUGAAAUGCGUAGAGAUCAUGAGGAAGACCAGUGGCGAAGGCGGGUCUCUGGACAGUUCCUGACACUGAGGCACGAAGGCCAGGGGCGCAAACGGG